CAUGCAGCGAUGGCAGUGGGGUCUGGGUGAGCUGGGCUGCUGCUCCGCGUGAGGUGUGCUCUCCUUCCUGGCCCGGGACUUGCGUGUCAGAAUCAGCACCAGAAGGGCUCAAGGAGCCUUGGAUGACGAUUGUUGAGCACCGUGGGCCCUCGCUUGGCAGCUCUUUCAUGGGCGUAGUCCUAACAGCCCCGCCUCCUGCAG
RNAcentral lists this long non-coding RNA (201 nucleotides) under Homo sapiens (human). Its description in RNAcentral is "HSALNT0145151". The record is from RNAcentral. Lineage: Eukaryota; Metazoa; Chordata; Mammalia; Primates; Hominidae.